AGGCGGAGCGGAACUGAUGGACACCGAGUGAGGCCAGGUCAAGAACUCUUGAGUGUUGAAUUGGCACCCAGGGCACCCAUACCAUGCUGUCUUCACUUUCCUUGCCAGGCUGCGCUCACCUCCCAUCCAUCCACCCAUGUUUCUGUGUCCUGCUCUGUUGCGGCACAGAAAGACAAGGGAACUCCACAAAACCUCCCUGCUCCGAACCAAAGAAAACACAAAGCCCCUGAGUUCCAGUAAGGAACUCCACCUGGAAGGAGGUGCAACAGAACUGGGGCUCCUCCUAGGCCUGGGCAGAUCAUGGGGGUCAGGGGAUCCAGGGGUGAGAUGUCUACCACAGGAAGUUUUGAGGGUUCCCAGAGCAGUAUUCCACCUUGGAAGUAGCAACCUUGCGUCUCUCCACUCCAAUGACAAUGCUGACGUGGAUCUUUAUUUGUAAAGGUUCUCUGUAGUGCGUAUAGAGCAGUAAAUAUAAAGAUAUUUACUUCCACCGAGUAAACAUCGCUCAAACAUUAUGUAGCCCUGUGUUCCCAAAUCCAAACACAUUAAAUAUUAAAACUCAUUUUUCCUGGUUACAUAGUAGCUAUAAAUAUGAAGAAUGUGACACAAAAUAUUUUUUUCUUGCUAGAUGUGUUUCAUUUUGCCAAGGCCACUCAGGCCCCUGACUCCAAGAGUGUGAUACUAUGGAGUUCAUGAUGCUAUCUCUGAAACUUACUCCCUCAUCUAGCAGAUGUCACC
Mus musculus (house mouse) is the source of this 738-nucleotide long non-coding RNA. RefSeq annotates it as predicted gene, 32680. The transcript is spliced from 3 exons. The record is from RefSeq and is a predicted model, not a curated record. Lineage: Eukaryota; Metazoa; Chordata; Mammalia; Rodentia; Muridae.